Molecule: ribosomal RNA, 491 nt
Filed under: uncultured bacterium
Lineage: Bacteria
Description: bacterial SSU rRNA
Rfam family: Bacterial small subunit ribosomal RNA
Source: RNAcentral
AGUGAACGCUGGCGGCGUGCUUAACACAUGCAAGUCGAACGAGUAAGAGCCGUAGUAAUACGGAAUUCUGCUAGUGGCAGACGGGUGAGUAAUACAUAGGAAUUUUCCUUGCAGUACGGAAUAACUAUUGGAAACGAUAGCUAAUACCGUAUAUUGCCUACGGGUGAAGAUUUAUCGCUGCAAGAUAAGCCUAUGCAAGAUUAGCUAGUUGGUGGGGUAAAGGGCCUACCAAGGCGACGAUGUCUAGCUGGUCUGAGAGGAUGAUCAGCCACACUGGGACUGAGACACGGCCCAGACUCCUACGGGAGGCAGCAGUAGGGAAUAUUGGACAAUGGGGGGAACCCGUGAUCCAGCCAUGCCGCGUGAGGGAAGAAGGUCCUCUGGAUUGUAAACCUCUUUUGGCAGGAAACAAACCUGCGCUAUACGCGCAGCUGAGGGUACCUGCAGAAUAAGUACCGGCUAACUCCGUGCCAGCAGCCGCGGUAAAGUCG